RNAcentral lists this small RNA (905 nucleotides) under Pongo abelii (Sumatran orangutan). Its description in RNAcentral is "retained intron". Lineage: Eukaryota; Metazoa; Chordata; Mammalia; Primates; Hominidae. The record is from RNAcentral.
GAGACUUAUGUUUAUAGUACUUGGUGCUAUAAUGUUUGUGGUAAACCUUAUAGAACUAUCUUUAAGAUGCAUUUUUAAAAUGAGAUUUAUGUAACUUAGUAAUUAUCUAACUUGAUCUCAUUAUUUUGCAGACCUGUCAUUUACUCCAUCCUUUAUAGUGAUGCUACAGGACGAAGAGGAAUGGAUAAAAACAUUGGCGAGCAACUCAAUAAAGCAUAUGAAGCCUUCCGGCAGGCAUGCAUGGAUAGAGAUUCUGCAGUAAAAGAAUUACAGCAAAAGACUGAGAACUAUGAGCAGAGAAUACGUGAACAACAGGAACAGCUGUCACUUCAACAAACUAUUAUUGACAAGCUAAAAUCUCAGUUACUUCUUGUGAAUUCCACUCAAGAUAACAGUUAUGGCUGUGUUCCUCUGCUUGAAGACAGUGAAACAAGAAAGAAUAAUUUGACUGUUGAUCAGCCACAUGAUAAAGUGAUUUCAGGAAUAGCAAGAGAAAAACUACCAAAGGUAAGAAGACAAGAGGUUUCUUCUCCUAGAAAAGAAACUUCAGCAAGGAGUCUUGGCAGUCCUUUGCUCCAUGAAAGGGGUAAUAUAGAGAAGACUUUCUGGGAUCUGAAAGAAGAAUUUCAUAGAAUAUGCAUGCUAGCAAAAGCACAGAAAGACCACUUAAGCAAACUUAAUAUACCAGACACAGCAACUGAAACACAGUGCUCUGUGCCUAUACAGUGUACGGAUAAAACAGAUAAACAAGAAGCGCUGUUUAAGCCUCAGGCUAAAGAUGAUAUAAAUAGAGGUGCACCAUCCAUCACAUCUGUCACACCAAGAGGACUGUGCAGAGAUGAAGAAGACACCUCUUUUGAAUCACUUUCUAAAUUCAAUGUCAAGUUUCCACCUAUGGACAAUGA